GCUGGUCAAAUGGAACCAAGU
Molecule: microRNA, 21 nt
Filed under: Danio rerio (zebrafish)
Lineage: Eukaryota; Metazoa; Chordata; Actinopteri; Cypriniformes; Danionidae
Description: Dre-Mir-133-P2a-v2_5p* (star (passenger))
Source: RNAcentral